GUGUCAGCUGGGCAGAAAGAGCCCGAAAUGCUCAUUAUCUUUAUGUAAAAAAGUGAGUUUGGUCGGAAGUACACAUCCGACCUUAUGAUACUAGAGUCGAGAUAUAUUUUAAAAAAUAAUUAAG
Long non-coding RNA from Maniola jurtina (meadow brown), 124 nucleotides. RefSeq lists it as uncharacterized. The transcript is spliced from 3 exons. Lineage: Eukaryota; Metazoa; Arthropoda; Insecta; Lepidoptera; Nymphalidae. The record is from RefSeq and is a predicted model, not a curated record.